Boleophthalmus pectinirostris (great blue-spotted mudskipper) is the source of this 609-nucleotide long non-coding RNA. RefSeq lists it as uncharacterized. NCBI's taxonomy places the organism in Eukaryota, Metazoa, Chordata, Actinopteri, Gobiiformes, Gobiidae. The transcript has 3 exons. The record is from RefSeq and is a predicted model, not a curated record.
CAGUUUGAACCAGACAGACACAGUGAAUUUUUCACUUUUACAUGCAGCUCUUUUUUGUAAGUUCCCCUGUAAGGCCACCCAGGAACAGUCUACCGUUGGGAUUGUGACGGCGUUUCCUUCUCUCAAAGAUCCAUAUGCCAAGAAAGGCUAUGAGCAUCUUUCUGAUGCUGCAAGUGGAUCAGGGUACAUCUCAUGGCGGCUGAAAAAAAAAAAGGCAAAUGACUCCUCAGCCACCGGACAGCCCUGUUGACUAUUCUCAAGGAGGCCCAACACAUCAGAGGACUGUUCAGGUCGAACAACAGCUGAACGGUGAUGCCAAGAGUCUUCAGAUAAUGAUUUGUACAUAAUUUCAUCUUUUACAGUGUUUUAAAGAAAAUAAAGGCUUUACAUGCACUGAAUGUGUUUUUUACAGUGUACCGUAAUUUACACUUCACAGUGUGUAGUUACAACUCUCCAGGAUGUUAAAUUAACUCAAGUUAAGUGUAAAAAUAAAACACCUCUGUGUGUUGUUUAGCUAAAUCAGGAUAACUCUACAAAGUGUUAACCCUUUACUCUCAAAAUGUUAAUUUAACUCUUGAUUUUGGGGUUAAACAGUAACUUUGGUCCAGU